UAGUUUACGUUUCAGUCCUUCAAUAUCUGAUUCACCAGGUCUUAUGCGGCCACCAGGAAGCUUAAAGAUGAAAUUUUUUAGUUGCAGUAGCAAAAGAUGAGGAUGUUUGAACAAUUCAACCAAAAUAACAGCCUCCACGCACGUCCUCAAUCCAUGAGCAUGAUAGUUUGAUUUCAUCCUCUGGGCACGAUCAGCUAAAGUCUCUUCCUUGAAUGGAAGAGGGUCUUUGGAUCCAAAGUAGUAGCUACUAAGAGGGUAUAUGUCUAUUAGAAAGCCUUGAUCACUGCUAGUUUCAUGGUUGUCAUUUAAAAGUAUUUGAUCACCCAUCUUGAAUUGCCUGAGAAAUAAC
Molecule: unclassified non-coding RNA, 349 nt
Filed under: Hevea brasiliensis (rubber tree)
Lineage: Eukaryota; Viridiplantae; Streptophyta; Magnoliopsida; Malpighiales; Euphorbiaceae
Source: RNAcentral